GGUUCGCUCUGGGCAUUGCCAGCUGUCCAGGGCCAGUGACGGUCUGUACUUUAAGAUGCUGAAUUAGGUGUGAACCUGUUCAUGGACUCAAAAGGUAGUUUCUUUGAACCAUGUAGAGUUCUUCAGGUUGAAAGUGCUCUACAUAUGUGUUAAAUUUCCUCUUAAAAUCGAGGACAACAAAAACUACUUUUUUGUUUUGUUUUUUUGUUAAUUUUAGGGCCACACCUGCGGCAUAUGGAAGUUCCCAGUCUAGGGCUUCAGUCGGAGCUGUAGCUGCCAGUCUAUGCCACAGCCACAGCCACGCCAGAUCCAAGCCACGUCUGCGACCUACACCACAGCUCAUGGCAACACCGGAUCCAUAACCCACUGAGCGAGGCCAGGGGUUAAACCUGUGUCCUCAUGGUUACUUAGAUUCAUUUCCACUGAGCCACAAUGGGAACUCCUUAAACUACUUUUCUUACUUCUAAUAGAAGAACCUAUCUCGAGGGGCUAUUUGAUUGGUACAUAUCUGGAGUCUUGAGAGGACAACUCUUAAAAGGAUAGAGCUGUAGAUGACAUAGUGUCACCCUUUGUAUGUGGAUGGGAAAUAUUACAGUCUUCAAUCAACCUGAAACAGUGUUGAUGUACACAGACGGCAUUUAACUGGGUCCAUUAGGUUUUAGAGGGUGUGUUCCUCUCAGUCUUAAAAACAGCAAGAUGUGUAUGGACAGAUGAGGGCUCAUACAGCGAAAUGUGUGCAGGUAAGAACAGAAUGCCCGAAAUGCCCCGGGAACCGUUUUUUUCUCUCUAGCCAUUGGAUAUGAGGAAAUACACUAACAGACACUAGUUAAUACUUAUUUACAACAAUUUGUUCCCCUUGGAGAACUCAUUUUUCAAUCCAGGUUGAACUUGAUUUCAAUCCCUGUUAAAAGGGCAAAUAACCCCGUUUGUAGAGGAUCAGACUCAUUCCUAACUGGAAAUGUCUGUUAAACGCCUCCCUGCUCUCUGUGUUGAGACCAUAUAAUUUUGUGCCCCAGAGAUAAGAGGGGUAGUUUGUUUACAAAAGAGAUUAGUGUUUAGGACAUCCAGACUCUAGCCUUAGAGCAGAGAUCAAAUAGCAGAUUAGACUAGCCAGAAAGUAUAGUUUGUGUGUGUGUGUGCACCUGCCGUGCAUGCAUGUACCCACGUGCCGCGCACAUGAGCGCCCACUGCACAGCUUGCCUGGUGUUGUAGAUGAGCUAACAGGAGGGAUGCUUGAAUUAUUUAAUGUCUACAUAUCCUUUACCACAGUUCUAUCAUCACAUUAUAAAUGCUUUUUCAUUUUUUAUUAGUAAUUUAUUUUUGAAACUUUAUCUUUUUCACCCAACUUAAACCACCAUUAAUGCAUUUGAUAAGUUUCUGUCAAGUUCUAAAGACACAAUCCAAGUAGUUUCUUCCGUCUUCCUGCCAGUUAUCCACAAUGACCAUGGUACUUUAAUUCGGUCAUUGCAUCACAAUGAAAGCGGAAUUGAUCUGUGCCACCUGCACCAAACCAUUCUUCUGGAAAGGUCACCUGACAUUUUUUUUUUUUUCUUUUGUCUUUUUGCUAUUUCUUGGGCCACUCCGGAGGCAUAUGGAGCAGCCCCAGAAAAGGCAAAAAGACAUACAUACAUACAUACAUAAAUAAACAAAUAAAUAAAUAAAAGUUCACAUGUAAAGUCUUAGUAUAUCUAUUGAAUGUAGGGUCCUGGGAGAGCAGAAGAAAAUGUAUCCUGGGAAAAGCAGAAUACUUAUUUUUUAAAAUGUAAAAAAAUUGCAUCAGCUCUCACCUAUUAUUUUUCCUCCUAGAUUACAGAAAUCAGAUUCUUCCAUUACUACAGAACUAUUUUCUGAAAUACUUCCUGUCUCUCACUUUCCCUUCAGGCUUUUAGAUUAAAAAUUUGACAAUA
Molecule: long non-coding RNA, 1907 nt
Filed under: Sus scrofa (pig)
Lineage: Eukaryota; Metazoa; Chordata; Mammalia; Artiodactyla; Suidae
Description: lncRNA (ENSSSCG00055028753.1)
Source: RNAcentral